GAUGAAGAACGCAGCGAAAUGCGAUAAGUAAUGUGAAUUGCAGAAUUCAGUGAGUCAUCGAAUCUUUGAACGCACAUUGCGCCCUGUGGUAUUCCGCAGGGCAUGCCUGUUCGAGCGUCAUUUCAACCCUCAAGCCCCGCUUGGUGUUGGGCCCCGCCCGCUGUGGCCGGCCCUAAAGACAGUGGCGGCGCCGCCUGGCCCUCAGCGUAGUACAUCUCUCGCUCCAGGGUCCGGUGGCCGCCUGCCAGAACCCCCCAACUCUGUGGUUGACCUCGGAUCAGGUAGGGAUACCCGCUGAACUUAAGCAUAUCAAUAAGCGGAGGA
This 324-nucleotide unclassified non-coding RNA is filed under the name soil metagenome. Its description in RNAcentral is "partial contains 5.8S ribosomal RNA, internal transcribed spacer 2, and large subunit ribosomal RNA". The stretch from base 1 to 120 matches the Rfam family "5.8S ribosomal RNA", at positions 35 to 154 of the family's 154-position model. The record is from RNAcentral.